RNAcentral lists this transfer RNA (69 nucleotides) under Sermyloides sp. BMNH 846593. RNAcentral's name for it is "tRNA-Met". Lineage: Eukaryota; Metazoa; Arthropoda; Insecta; Coleoptera; Chrysomelidae. The record is from RNAcentral.
AAAAAGAUAAGCUAAAUUUAAGCUAUUGGGUUCAUACCCCAAUUAUAAAGCCCCUCCCUUUUCUUUUUA